UGGUACAUCCCCCCCCCUCCCCCGGUAUUCAUUGUCUUCUACAGUAGAGCGGGACAUUUAAUUUACUCUCAGCGGAAUUGACCGGAGAAGGCAUCAGUUCAUGCACUGCACUGGCCCGCACCACGAUUAGUAUAAGGCACAUUUCACGAAGCAGAACGCAGUCUUCAGAGAUAUCCACGUGAACGCUGUGAUACGUCUGACCUUCAGUCCGAAGAAGAAACCCAGACCAGUCUUAAAAGAAAGCACAAACCAAAUCCCCUGUACACAUAUACGGACUCAGAGGAUGAGUUUUUUUGUGGGGAAAGCCUACAAAAAUACGGUUUCCCCAGGCCCCUCGAGUGAAAAUACCAGCCCUCAUCACUCCGCAGUCUGCCCCCCAGCCCACUGAUAGCAACCAUCAUAAUGCCCCACCCAGCUUCCGGCACCUUUCGCCACUCCGGCACAAACCGACACAGCUUUGCGAUCUCCCCAGCAUGCAGAGUCUGAUGUCUUCCCUAUAGAUGAUUCCAGAGACUCUGUGAAGCCACUAUUACAAGGUGAGACGCUUUGCGUUGAUUGGUGCUGCUGGACCACACUGGAGGUGCGAGUCCGCCGUGUAAUGGUUUAUGCCAUUACAAAGGAGCUGGCGUCUGUACUCAACUGGGCAGGGAAAAAAAAACAAGG
Pelmatolapia mariae (spotted tilapia) is the source of this 663-nucleotide long non-coding RNA. RefSeq lists it as uncharacterized. The record is from RefSeq and is a predicted model, not a curated record. NCBI's taxonomy places the organism in Eukaryota, Metazoa, Chordata, Actinopteri, Cichliformes, Cichlidae. The transcript has 6 exons.